Long non-coding RNA from Fundulus heteroclitus (mummichog), 463 nucleotides. RefSeq lists it as uncharacterized. The transcript has 2 exons. The record is from RefSeq and is a predicted model, not a curated record. NCBI's taxonomy places the organism in Eukaryota, Metazoa, Chordata, Actinopteri, Cyprinodontiformes, Fundulidae.
UUUCUUGGUUCUAACGCAUGUUUCCUGUCUCCUCGUAGUUUGCUCUGUGUUUUGGAUUACUCACCGACUGCUCGGCUAAAGCGCUGAAGUCUCAACCAAGCUCCUGAAUCCCUGUGCUCAGAUUUUGCUCUGGCAUUCCCCUCGAGCCCCCUUCGCUAUUACCAAGACGGACAAGAGAGCCCCCCUUACUGGAUUCAUCCUGGUUCUUUUGGCUGCUCUCUGCUUCCCGCCUCUGCUGUGGUGCUUUUUGGGCUUCCCGCCUCCGUUCCACCUGCUAGUCUUCCUGUCACUCAGUCACCUAGUUCCACCAACAGAAAGAAUCCGUCUUCCACUCCGCUCCCCCCGGAUAGGUUGCUCAUACCUGGCGUGUCUCAUAUCCCGACGUCUUGAUCAUAGCUGACGGCUCACUCAGUGAGCAUUACUUCUUUGUGUACCCUUGAGCCAAAUAAACAUCUUAAACUGC